RNAcentral lists this ribosomal RNA (431 nucleotides) under uncultured bacterium. RNAcentral's name for it is "partial 16S ribosomal RNA". It matches the Rfam family "Bacterial small subunit ribosomal RNA", at positions 29 to 507 of the family's 1533-position model. The record is from RNAcentral.
AACGAACGCUGGCGGCAGGCCUAACACAUGCAAGUCGAGCGCCCUUUCGGGGGAGCGGCGGACGGGUGAGUAACGCGUGGGAAUAUGCCCUUCUCUACGGAAUAGCCUCGGGAAACUGAGAGUAAUACCGUAUACGCCCUGUGGGGGAAAGAUUUAUCGGGGAAGGAUUAGCCCGCGUUGGAUUAGGUAGUUGGUGGGGUAAUGGCCUACCAAGCCGACGAUCCAUAGCUGGUUUGAGAGGAUGAUCAGCCACACUGGGACUGAGACACGGCCCAGACUCCUACGGGAGGCAGCAGUGGGGAAUCUUAGACAAUGGGGGCAACCCUGAUCUAGCCAUGCCGCGUGAGUGAUGAAGGCCUUAGGGUUGUAAAGCUCUUUCAGCUGGGAAGAUAAUGACGGUGCCAGCAGAAGAAGCCCCGGCUAACUCCGUG